This is a non-coding RNA of Gekko japonicus, 402 nucleotides long. NCBI's taxonomy places the organism in Eukaryota, Metazoa, Chordata, Lepidosauria, Squamata, Gekkonidae. The record is from the annotation of a RefSeq genome assembly.
AUGGAGACCUUAAUCCUAAUUCUUUGCAUCUUUUCAAUGCUGAAGCAGGGAGUCCUCUCUGAAAUUAAGCUGACAGAGUCUGGGAAAGGAACAGUCAAGCCUGGGAAGUCCUUAAGAUUGACCUGCACAGUCUCUGGGACCUCCAUCACCAAAGAAUCUAGUUACCAUUGGAUCCGCCAGCCACCUCACAAAGGGCUGGAAUGGAUUGGAAUGGGAUACUACGUCAGCGCUGCUGGUUAUGAUGAUGAUGACGGCAGAUUAUUCUGGAACGCUCAGUAUGCCUCCGCCUUCCAGAGCAGGGUCUCCAUCCAUGACAACUCCAAGAAUGAGUUUUCUCUCCAGCUGAACUCCCUGACAGCUGCAGACAGGGCCAUCUAUUAUUGUGCCCGACAACCACAGUGA